CGAUUCCUGGGUUGUUCGCCAGUCGGUGAUGUCCCUGAGCCGAUAAUCUUAUNCCAGGGAGGCACACAAUACACGGUGCGCAGGUCCGUCUACGGAAAGCCUAAUGUGUGUUUGNGUUUCCCGCCUUGAACCAUUGGGUUCAAGGGCCAAACUGACAGCGGCAACUUGGGUCUUUU
This 176-nucleotide non-coding RNA is filed under the name Gammaproteobacteria bacterium. RNAcentral's name for it is "6S RNA". It matches the Rfam family "6S / SsrS RNA". From Rfam's summary of the family: E. coli 6S RNA was the first non coding RNA to be sequenced, but its function was unknown until recently. It consists of 184 nucleotides that fold into an extended hairpin structure with a large single-stranded internal bulge. The 6S RNA specifically associates with RNA polymerase holoenzyme containing the sigma70 specificity factor. The record is from RNAcentral. RNAcentral also lists the same sequence under 1 other name. Lineage: Bacteria; Pseudomonadati; Pseudomonadota; Gammaproteobacteria.